CAGAGCUGAAGGGAAUUUGGGGAUGAAAGAAGAGAGGACAAGGGCACAAGAGGAAGAGGGGAUGAGGGAAUUGGAGGUGAGGAGACGAGGCUGAGGGGACACGGCUGAGGAGGAUCAAGGCUGAGGGAAUAGGAGGUGAGGGGACGGGGCAUCAAGGGAUUGGCGAUAAAAGAUUAGGGAUGAGGGACAGGAAUGAGGGGACAGGGAUGAGGGCACACGGACUGUCCGCGAUCUGCGCUGAGGCUCCCCGGCUGCGGGCCCGGCACGGGGAGGCAUUUCCUCCCACGCAACCGACAAGAGGGGAAGAAAAACAAAAAACCCCAAAAGUUUGGUUUGGUUUGGGUUUGUUUUCUCUCAAUUGCGAGGUGCGGGCACAGGAAGCGCGGGCGGCGGCAGGCGGAGAGGCACAGCCCCGUCCCUGCGGGCCCGGCGGUGGAAGCGAGGAGGAGCCGGUGCGGGAGCGGAGCCGCCUCGCCGCCSUUACAACAAACCGGCCCCGACGCCUUUGUUUGCAGGCGUGUGUGCUCAGAGAGAAAACACAACGGCGCUGCCGAACGGGGGCCGGAAAAAGAGCGUGCAGGAAAAAAAAAAUCAUACUCCCCCCUUCACCGUUCGAUUUUAGGAGCCGGAAAGCACUAGAUGAUACUGUCAAAAGUGUAUUUUUAAAGGAUAGGAAACUGCCUCAAUGACAGUUUUUGUCUGAACACGCUGUAUGACUUAGCAAUAAGCCCUGCCCUUUAGAUAAAGCARAGGAAGACUCAAACCGUUCUUAAUUGCCAAAUAAUUUUGAUGAAAUGAGCGCAGGCAAGGAGCUGGUGCACUUCGUUGCCCAAACACUUCCCAUGAUUAUUUUUUUUUACUCAGAAGUCAACCACUGCACAGACAAGUGUAGGAUGCGGUGGUGCUCCAGUCCUUGAUUAAAUCCGAGCAACCAGUCCCAGAAAUCUCCCCAUUCCCAGUUCCCUGUGGCUGAAGAGUUCCUAUUGUGAAUGUGUCACUGCAGCAGCAGCCAGCUGGCACGUCAGCAUUUCCACUGCAAGCCUAUUUUUAAAGGUCUGGAAUUCAACCACAGAAGACAAAUGUUUUGGAGUGCAUACCAGGAUUGUUUGUCCUUCAGAAAAGAAAAAUCAGUUUAUAUUUUUUUCCCCCCAAAGUUGAGUGAAUGCUACAAAACCAGCCAACUGACACAUCUCAGUUCUGCCCUAUCCUCCAAGGAAAAUCUCCAAUUAAGGAUGCAGUAUCCUGUCUCCACGCUGGCCAGGAAAGCAGAUGCCAGACAGAACCUACCAACAGGAACUUGCUUCGUUAUAUUUCUUCAAACCUGCUUUAUCCUUGAAGCUGAAACCAAGCCUGAAAAAUCCAACUGGAAUUCAGAGUGAAUUUCGCCUCRGAGCGCAGAAUAAACCACCAUGAUGUUCCAAUAUGCAAAUGUAUCAACAAUGAUGAAUACUUAAGGGAUUGAUUGCAUCCAAAAUCAUCGUGAUCUCCAUCUUCAGGGAAGUUUUUGUGGCAGCAGAAGGUGUUACUUCUGCAGUGAGAGAGAGCCAAAGAUGUUGCCAGUUCCUAACUUUAGCUAGGAGCCCACAUACCAUGCCUCAAGCCAGUAUCCUAAUCAUCUCAGGUGAAAAUUCUUCCCAUUUUGGAAAUUUAUAAUUAACUUCCUACUGAGCCAUGCUUAGAAAAAUGCCUCAACCUGAAAGAUUAAAUAGGAACUUAGUAUCUGGCAGAAAUAAUUCAGCAGUAGCUGUUUGUGUCUUGCAGUAUAAAGACACUGAUUUAAAAUUAUAUAUUUAGAAGUUGUUUUCUCUUUAUUGUGUAACCAAAGGACUUGAACUGGAUGAGCAAUAGCUGCAUUGCUGGAGCAGGGAGGAGGUCAGAGAAUGCCACUUCAGGAACAUURGUUUGGGUCUUCAGAUAAUUGCAGCAGCAGCAGCGAGUGCUGGACGAGUCCCCACUGCUGGAGGGAUGGAGAUCCACAUCCCUCCAGCCUCUGGAGCUCCUGGGGGUCACCACAACMCCACUGCUUUUUCUUCUCCACUCUAACCAAGGUUAUUUUCAAGCCAUCUUGACUUUGCUCCUGUUCCAAUUGGGGCACAACUUGACUCAUCAGUUCUUUAUUUGGAACACACAUCACAUUUCUGCACUUCAUCAGUUCUGCUCCCACUGAGGUCACUUGUUUGUGGCCAUUCAAUACUUCCUGCAAGUGCCCAGCUCUCAGUUUCACCUUUUCCCACUGCCCUGUGCCUGGAGUCACCCUUCAGCCRAGGAUGCUCUUUGCAGCCCUGUGACUUUGGGGUCAGCAGGACACAAGCUGAGGACAUUCUGCAAUACGUUUCAGAAUCAGUAUUUAAAGCCCAACUUCUUUUCCCAUUAACUCUGGUGACAAUAUCCAUAAUAAUUUCAAUGGGAGCAUGAUAAUUCUGUAAGUAAUUGCUAUCAGGAAUUUAAUUUAAACCUCAUUUGACUGACAUUUCUUGUUUGCAAGGUAUCUAUUUUAGGAACAAUGUCUUGCUAGUGUAUCUUCUUCAUCUUAGUCAUGACUGAUAACAGAAUAAUCAUCUCAACCACUUUCUUUUUCUUUUCCUGCAUAAUGGUUUUACUGCAUUUUCACAUAGCAAACAUACAGRAAUAGAAACAAUUAGACAAAUAACAGUAUUAUAUGGAGAUGAGCAGSUAAGUGACUAGAACUUACUUGAAACUCUUUCCUAGGCUGGAUGUGAGGCUCAGAAGCCUCGAGGCACCACAGGGUUGUUGAAAAGACUAAAGAAUGGUGCAAGUUACUCUAAUUCAUGUUUCUUGAAGCUGGGCUUAUAGAGGUGUGUUAAAUACCUCUAUAAGAAUAUCAAUAUCUGGGGUGCCAGAACUCCAACCUGCUCCUGAUUUCAUUGCAAGAAAGACAUGGAGGGGCUGGAGUGAGUCCAGGAAUGGCUGAGGGAGCUGGGAAAGGGGCUCAGCCUGGAGCAAAGAAGGCUCAGGGUGACCUUGUGGCUCUGCACAACUCCUGACAGGAGCCAGGAUGGGGUCGGGCUCUGCCCCCAGGGACAGGAGGAGAGGGAACGGCCUCAGGCUGGGCCAGGGGAGGGGCAGGGUGGACACCAGGAGGAAUUUCUUCCCCAAAAGGGUGGUGAAGCCUUGGCAGGAGCUGCCCAGGGAGGUUUGGAGUGCCCAUUCCUGGAGGUGUCUAAGGAAGGACUGGAUGUGGCACUCAGUGGUUGGUGACAAGGUGGGGAUCAGGUUGGACUCCACGAUCCCAGGGAUCUUUCCCAACCUUAGGGAUUCCGAGAUCCUGCUGCUCUGCAGGAGUUCCUGCCCGUCCUCCCUCUCUCCAACAGUUCCUCACUGCCAGCACAUCAACACUGCCCCAGUCACACUGUGCUUCCCCAGGACGAAUCUGAGGCAGCAAUUGCCAGGCAAUUUCUCUUUAAUCAGUGACUUUCSUACAGGGAAAUGCCACAAAACACUUUGCAGGUCAUUACCUUGUUCUUAAUAACCCACGGGGCAGCGAAUGCUGAGUAAGGAAGGACAGGGUUCGCUGCUUCUUCCAGUCCUUUGUCAGGUUUCCUCCUUUGCUGUAAAUCUCCAGGGACAAGCAGUUAGGAAGUGUCUUCAACAAGUUGACUUUGACACUGAAAGAGCUGCUUCUCCUUUCACUGAGGAGCUGUCACAGGCAYCGAUGGAGCCGUGGCAGAACAGCUGAAAGUGGUAAAAAUUGACAGACGAGCAGACUUUCAAUGAUAAGGAAAAAAUCCAGAAAACUGCCACGUGAGARGCAGAUUCUCACCGCCCUUAAUGGGAGGGCUUUUAGGAAAUGUUGUGAAUUGGCUUCAACGAGAAACASGAACACUCAGCGGAGGAAACAUCUCCCAGAAUGAGGUCAGACUUGUAAAGAAUGGCUCUUACCCAGCCCAUGAGCAGAGCCACGGGGGGAGCGGUAAAUCAGCUGUAAACACCAGGAAUCGUUCUGCUGUGGUACAUCAAACUCCCUAACAGAGCUACGAAAGCUCAGCUCCAGCCUGGUUUCAGUUUACAUUUCAUCGGUUCGUGGUGUUUUUAAGCAAGUUUAAAACAUGUCAUUCUGAGCAUCAAUAUUUAUCUCAGAAAAGGAGGAGGGACAAACCUUGGAUUUUUUUUGCUGUAACAAACGGUGUGGUACCACCUCUGAAAGGCCAGCAAAAAGCACCAGGGCAGGACUCUCAAAAAUAAGAGGAUCUGCUUUUUUUUUAAUACAAAACAAUAAUAAGCCUCACUUUUAAAAUCUUCUAACAGUAAUCUCGAGGAAAUAAAGAAAUAAUGUUGGGWUUGUGUGGGAAGGAAGCAGAUUUAAAUCUCAAAUGAAUGACGUACCUUGUAAUUACAGGAACCAUUGAAAGAGAUAGUCAGAAUUAAAAUAAUUCCAAUAUUCACAGCRAAAUAUUAAUUUGAAAAUUUUCAAGGAUGGAUAAAUGCACAUAAACAGAGGCAGAUGAUCAAGGGCUGAAGUUCAAAUUAACUCAAAGAAAGAAGUCAGCCUUGUUAAAUGAUAUCUAAAAUUGUCACUGAGCUCAGCAGCGAGGGCUUGAGGCAGCGUGGGGCUGGGCGAGCAGCAAGUUGGAUUUACUGAGAAAUUGUGCCUCUGUGAGUGGCACAACUGCCUUCCAUCAAUGCCUCUCUGAAGCACGUGAACUCUGAGAACGCUUAAAAAUUUAAAUUAAAACACCUUUCUAAAUUUUCAAUCACCAAACAAUGGGUGAUUAAGCACAAUCAUUAAGCUUGCAGCAACAGCAGUAAUGUGUUUCUUCCGUUAUGACAAAGCCCUCAUUGCUUAACGCAUUUUAAUAAGACAGUUAUAAGAUAUUUCAUGUUUUUAUAGACAUUUUUGCACCUAGCUAUUAAUACUGGUUACUUGGCUUGCUAGGUGGAAGAUGUUUUCACUCAUAGAUGAUUCCAUCUGUAUUAACAGCUACAAAUAAAAUGAUGAACACUUUUAAUAUCAAUUAAUGGCAUUUUUUUAACCCAAUGAACUCAAUUAAUGGCAUUUUUUUGAUUGAUUGUAUCCAAAAUACCAAUUAAUGGCAUCUUUUGAUUGAGGGAGAUUAUUACCUGAGCACUGAACCAGCAGAAAACUCCCAAACCUCUUAGAUAGGAUUUCAACGGGAUAAACACACUGAAUCAUUUUUCUGUCCAUUUUCCCAUAAAAAUUUUCUCCACAAAGGAUUUUUCCUCCUGAAACACCACACGGAUUGCUCAGCACUUCCCAUGUCUCCCAUCGUGUCACUCUGAUGGAUCUGCUGAACCCACCCAGAGCUGCAGAAAGC
Molecule: long non-coding RNA, 5294 nt
Organism: Malurus melanocephalus (red-backed fairy wren)
Lineage: Eukaryota; Metazoa; Chordata; Aves; Passeriformes; Maluridae
Exons: 3
Source: RefSeq, a predicted model, not a curated record